UUUGGUGAAAAUAGCGACAGGGAUACACCUGGUUACAUUUUGAACCCAGUAGUUAAGUCUGUUUACGCCGAAGAUACUUAGAGUUAUCUAGGGAAAAUAGGAAAUUGCCAAAC
This 113-nucleotide ribosomal RNA is filed under the name Leptotrichia sp. The record is from RNAcentral. Lineage: Bacteria; Fusobacteriati; Fusobacteriota; Fusobacteriia; Fusobacteriales; Leptotrichiaceae.